Molecule: long non-coding RNA, 398 nt
Organism: Helicoverpa zea (corn earworm)
Lineage: Eukaryota; Metazoa; Arthropoda; Insecta; Lepidoptera; Noctuidae
Exons: 2
Source: RefSeq, a predicted model, not a curated record
GUAGCAUUUAACCUUUCUGAACUCUGAAUACAAGGACCUUGGUAUAUUGCAAGAGUUACUUAAAGUCAGGCGACUUAUAUGCAAAGAGCAAGGAAUACCUAUGCACGGAACUUGGAUGACGUCACAUGACUUGCAGAGAGCUGCAGAGGCAGAUGGUUGGGAGACCGCAUACGAGAUCAAGUUUGAAGAUCUGGGAAAACAAUAUGGCGUCGCUUUUGAUAAAGAGCCUGUUUCUGCUAAGUUUAUGAUUGUCAAAAUCUAAAAUACACUAAUAAGGUUAUUAAUUGAACUUUCACUUGAUUGUAGAAAGGGAAUAGCUUAGAAGUUUUAUCAAUUAAAAAAUUCGUUUUCUUAUUUCAAAUGCUUUUGAAGAAUAAAUGCUUUUUUGAUGAUAAAAA